UUUUUGAGAUGGAGUCUCUCUCUGUCGCCCAGGCUGGAGUGCAGUGGCGCGAUCUCAGCUCACUGCAAGCUCCACCCCCUGGGUUCAUGCCAUUCUCCUGCCUCACCCUCCUGAGUAGCUGGGACAACAGGCGCCCGCCACCACGCCCGGCUAAUUUUUUGUAUUUUUAUAGAGAUGGGGUUUCUCCAUGUUGGUCAGGCUGGUCUCGAACUCCCGACCUCAGGUGAUCUGCCCACCUCAGCCUCCCAAAAUGCUGGGAUUAUAGACUGAGCCACUCCCCAGACCCAGUCUAUCUAGUCAAAAGAAAAACAUGAGACAAAACCUAAUUGAGAGACACUCUUCAUAACACCUGGCCAAUACUCCACAAAACUGUCAAGGUCAUGAAAACAAGGAGCUGUCACAGGCCAGAGGAUCCUGAAGAGACUUAAUGACUAAAUAUAAUGUGGUAUCUUGGGUGGGAUCUGGGAAGAGAAAUCACUCCUAUAAUCCCAGCACUUUGGAAGUCCGAGGCGGUGGAUCACCUGAGGUCAGGAGUUUGAGACCAGCCUGACCAACAUGGUGAAACCCCAUCUCUAGUAGAAAUACACAAAAUUAGCUGGGCAUGGUGGCGGUGUAAUCCCAGCUACUCGAGAGGCUAAGGCAGGAGAAUUGCUUGAACCUGGGAGGCGGAGGUUGCGGUAAGCUGAGAUUGUACCACUGCACUCCAGCCUGUGUGACAGAGGGAGACUUCGUCUCAAAAAGGAAGGAAGGAAGGAAGGAGAGAGAGAGAAAGAAAGAAAAAGAAAGGAAAAGAGAAGAGAAGAG
Molecule: long non-coding RNA, 804 nt
Filed under: Homo sapiens (human)
Lineage: Eukaryota; Metazoa; Chordata; Mammalia; Primates; Hominidae
Description: HSALNT0007290
Source: RNAcentral